RNAcentral lists this ribosomal RNA (610 nucleotides) under Meloidogyne incognita (southern root-knot nematode). Its description in RNAcentral is "partial large subunit ribosomal RNA". It matches the Rfam family "Eukaryotic large subunit ribosomal RNA", at positions 448 to 932 of the family's 3401-position model. Lineage: Eukaryota; Metazoa; Nematoda; Chromadorea; Rhabditida; Meloidogynidae. The record is from RNAcentral.
UUUUUAUGUUGUGACCUCUGAGCUCCAGAUUGGGACAGAGGGAAUCAGCAUAAUUUUUUGUGGUGCAUUUACUUGAUUGGUGCUUGGGGAUGUUUGAGGCAGAUUUGUUUCCGUCGUUUUGAGGCCAGCUUGCUGGUACCCAAACGGUGUUAGCAUUUUUUGUCUUGGGCAUUUGAGUAUGGCUCACGUGUAUUUAUUGGACAGAUCUGAGUGUAAGUUACGGUCGCAUGCGACACGUGCUUUUCAAUUAGUUCGGUCCAGUUAAUGCUCUCGUACUCGUUCCCCAUGUAAAAGCCGGUCAUCUAUCCGACCCGUCUUGAAACACGGACCAAGGAGUUUAUCGUGUGCGCAAGUUUUUGGGUGUUAAAAACUUAAAAGCGAAAUGAAAGUAAAUGACUCUUUAGAGUCUGAUGUGCGAUCUUGUAAAAAAGUGUAGCAUGGCCCCAUUCUAACUGUUUACAGUAGGGUGGCGGAAGAGCGUACGCGGUGAGACCCGAAAGAUGGUGAACUAUUCCUGAGCAGGACGAAGCCAGAGGAAACUCUGGUGGAAGUCCGAAGCGGUUCUGACGUGCAAAUCGAUCGUCUGACUUGGGUAUAGGGGCGAAAGACU